Long non-coding RNA from Triticum dicoccoides, 2108 nucleotides. RefSeq lists it as uncharacterized. The transcript is spliced from 3 exons. NCBI's taxonomy places the organism in Eukaryota, Viridiplantae, Streptophyta, Magnoliopsida, Poales, Poaceae. The record is from RefSeq and is a predicted model, not a curated record.
UUGGUUGUUGAAUUUAGAGUACCUAGAGCUUAGUAACAAUACACUAACAGAUUUCAUCACACAAACAACCUAGACUAUCUUGUAGACUUGCAGUAGAAUUAUCUCUGUGGAAAAUUUCACAAGAAGUAGAAGGCGCACCAUCCUCAUCCACCCCUGCUGCUAUCUGCUCCUCUCCUUCACGGGACCAAACCCCUGCGCCAGCUCCGCUGCCGUGGCACAAGCUCCUCCUCACGGUGGCCGACUCCGCCUGCUUCUCUCCUGCACUUGUCCUCCUCGCAAAGAAAAAAAAGAAGGCCCACGCCCUCGCCGCUGGGUCACUCGACACCGGCGCGCUCACCAGCGACUAGGCCACCGUUGCCGCGGCGUCUGCGCCGGCGGCCCUCGACAUUGCCGCGGUCUUCGACUACCGCGCGACCCCUCUCGACGUCGUCGCCGCGCUCUAAUGCGAGGACGCGCGCCUGGGCUGUCCCCGAAGCGCCCGCUGCCUCCAAGGACAGGGCCGACCUCCGGAGGCUCCUUCUAGGGUCCUCCAACCACGCAGCGGCCGGCGCCCCUACGGCGGUCUCGCUCUCCCAGCCAAGGUGCCCGCCGUGCGCGGGCCAUCCACGCCUGGGUGAGCGGUGAGCUCCGGUACUGAAGGUCGGAACAAGGAUGUGACCUACAUGCGAAGCCAAGGAGGAGACUUUGAUGCUGCUGGCUGCUCAAACGGGCGAGGCGGCGGAGGAGGCCCUGAUGACACUGGCCGUGCAGCUUGUACGUGCGGUAGGUGUAACCUCGGCACCUACCUCGGCUCAUGUCCUCCAACCUCGUGGCCACCUGCGCCCCUACCCUACAGCGGUCUCGUUCUCGAAGGCGCCGGCCGUUGACAGGGGGGCCCUUCCGGGGGCGGCGCGGGCUCAAUGCUCCGGUACUGAAGCUUGGGAACAGGGAUGCCACUGGCCGUGCACCUUGUACAGUAGGCGCAUUCGACGUGCAACCCCAGCGCCGCUACGGCUCACUGCUUCUGUGCUAAUGCUGCUUAGGGAUCGGAUCAUGCUACUGACGGAAAGGGCACCAAGUUGCUUCUUCGCGUGGAUUCUGCAGUGGUUACAGAUUGGGGAACCUCCCAAGCUAUGGGCUGGACUGUUGUUUGCUCCGAAACUGGAGCCCCCUACAGUACAGGAAAAGCGAAGAAAGCUACCAAGAGCAGUGAGUUAGCGAUCGAGGAGGAGAUUAGAUUGCCGAAAGUUUCCAAGGGAACAUGUGGCUUUGGGGAAAAUCAAAUGGCCAUAAGGCCGCGUGCACUUUCAAUAAUGACAGAUUUGUUUGAGAAAGACGGUGUUGCUGAAAUUGAUACACUCCUUCCCGGAAAAUAUGGUGAAGACUCUUAAUAAGUUGGUCUACGACCUUGCUGAUAAGGAAGGCAAAGGCAGUACUGUGGCGCCCAAGGAAGGAAGCAGCAGCCCAGCCACCUGGGACACAUGAGAAGGAGAGCAGGCGCUACUUAUCAGAGAGCCUGAAGCGUAGUGUAGGUGUUGUGUGUUUUAUAAUAAACACACAAAUUCCAUCACCUUCUCCCCUCCUUCCCAAUUCCAUCCCUGAUCCUCUUGUAUCAACUCUAGAACUCGAAUUCCAGGAGUAACUAAGGACUACUGAACGAGGCACAUAACAUCACCGCCAUUGCGGAAACUCUGUUGAAGAAAUCUCCCAGGGGCUGUGUCAGAACUCAGAAGCAUGGAGGCCUCGGCGAAGGUACUAACAUCGACGCUUCCAACAAAUCACAGUGAACCUAAUAGAUGCCAACAGUAUGAACUUGUCACCCUGAGAACUGAGAAUAGAAGACCUGUGUACCAGGGUGGAUUUUAUCGGCAACCUCCAGGUUUGUGCUCCACAAGGCCUUCUCUUCGUUCUUGUCAAAUACGCUCCACAAGGCCCUAUUCCACAGUAAGGCAAGAAAUGUUGACGCUGUGGCCGCCCGAUACUACACUGUUGGUGAUGGGCAAGCCUGGUUAAGACUCAAACUGCACUCUGAGUUUGUCUAUGUGAAAACAUCCAAUCCAAUACCUCCCAAGCAGACUUGAUUUUAUCUCCACGUGUAAUUCUAACUGGCCUCGAAUAUGCCACCACAA